CCAAAUCCUAUCUCUUCACCGCCGACUUGCACCUUCAGGUUUUUCUUGGAAGAUUCCCAACCACUCUGGUCGUUGGUUUAGGUUUUGUGCAGCGUCGCGUCACUUCCGUGAAUCUUCCCCGUUAUUGCACUCUAAUUCGAAGGGUUAUGAAGAUGAGAUAUGUUUGUUGGGAGUGGACUGAGAGAGAAAAAAAUGAUGUCUUCAUCUUUGAUUGUGGUCGUCUCUGUCGCUAUGUCUCCCAAACCCUAGGGAUUCAACUUGGAUCUCCAUAAUAU
Non-coding RNA from Arachis ipaensis, 275 nucleotides. Lineage: Eukaryota; Viridiplantae; Streptophyta; Magnoliopsida; Fabales; Fabaceae. The record is from RefSeq and is a predicted model, not a curated record.